CCUACGGGAGGCUGCAGUGGGGAAUAUUGCACAAUGGGGGAAACCCUGAUGCAGCGACGCCGCGUGAGUGAAGAAGUAUUUCGGUAUGUAAAGCUCUAUCAGCAGGGAAGAAAAUGACGGUACCUGAUUCAGAAGCCCCGGCUAACUACGUGCCAGCAGCCGCGGUAAUACGUAGGGGGCAAGCGUUAUCCGGAUUUACUGGGUGUAAAGGGAGCGUAGACGGCAGCACAAGUCUGGAGUGAAAUGCCGGGGCUUAACCCCGGAACUGCUUUGGAAACUGUGCAGUUAGAGUGCAGGAGAGGUAAGUGGAAUUCCUAGUGUAGCGGUGAAAUGCGUAGAUAUUAGGAGGAACACCAGUGGCGAAGGCGGCUUACUGGACUGUAACUGACGUUGAGGCUCGAAAGCGUGGGGAGCAAACAGGAUUAGAUACCCCAGUAGU
RNAcentral lists this ribosomal RNA (439 nucleotides) under uncultured bacterium. Its description in RNAcentral is "partial 16S ribosomal RNA". It matches the Rfam family "Bacterial small subunit ribosomal RNA", at positions 338 to 794 of the family's 1533-position model. The record is from RNAcentral.